UCUUUGUAAGUCUUUCUUCGCACCUCCACUUCAAAGCACCGUUUCACAUGUCAGCUUAUAUCAUAUUCUCACCAAUUCUCUCGGGGUAAACUGUUUACACUCAUAAUUCAAAGUAUGCAAUAUGACUCACAAGUUUGAAUAGUCUCUCUUUUCCUAUCACCUACACACAACACACACAUUUUUGAGGUCUUUCGGGUUGUAACUUGGCUUGGGUUAGGGUAUGGAUUAUUAUUUUUAAAAAAAGGAAAACAAGUGGCUUUUUGUUCAGAGUCG
RNAcentral lists this long non-coding RNA (273 nucleotides) under Lathyrus oleraceus (garden pea). RNAcentral's name for it is "Pisum sativum (pea) long non-coding RNA (PSAT_LNC006009)". Lineage: Eukaryota; Viridiplantae; Streptophyta; Magnoliopsida; Fabales; Fabaceae. The record is from RNAcentral.